This 497-nucleotide ribosomal RNA is filed under the name uncultured bacterium. RNAcentral describes it as "partial 16S ribosomal RNA". It matches the Rfam family "Bacterial small subunit ribosomal RNA", at positions 28 to 507 of the family's 1533-position model. The record is from RNAcentral.
GAUGAACGCUGGCGGCGUGCCUAAUACAUGCAAGUCGAGCGAACAGAUGAGGAGCUUGCUCCUCUGACGUUAGCGGCGGACGGGUGAGUAACACGUGGAUAACCUACCUAUAAGACUGGGAUAACUUCGGGAAACCGGAGCUAAUACCGGAUAAUAUAUUGAACCGCAUGGUUCAAUAGUGAAAGACGGUUUUGCUGUCACUUAUAGAUGGAACCGCGCCGCAUUAGCUAGUUGGUAAGGUAACGGCUUACCAAGGCAACGAUGCGUAGCCGACCUGAGAGGGUGAUCGGCCACACUGGAACUGAGACACGGUCCAGACUCCUACGGGAGGCAGCAGUAGGGAAUCUUCCGCAAUGGGCGAAAGCUUGACGGAGCAACGCCGCGUGAGUGAUGAAGGUCUUCGGAUCGUAAAACUCUGUUAUUAGGGAAGAACAAAUGUGUAAGUAACUAUGCACGUCUUGACGGUACCUAAUCAGAAAGCCACGGCUAACUACGUG